RNAcentral lists this ribosomal RNA (253 nucleotides) under uncultured bacterium. Its description in RNAcentral is "partial 16S ribosomal RNA". It matches the Rfam family "Bacterial small subunit ribosomal RNA", at positions 524 to 776 of the family's 1533-position model. The record is from RNAcentral.
UACGUAGGGUGCAAGCGUUGUCCGGAAUUAUUGGGCGUAAAGAGCUCGUAGGCGGCUUGUCGCGUCUGCCGUGAAAACCUCAGGCUCAACCUGGGGCGUGCGGUGGGUACGGGCAGGCUAGAGUGCGGUAGGGGAGAUUGGAAUUCCUGGUGUAGCGGUGGAAUGCGCAGAUAUCAGGAGGAACACCGAUGGCGAAGGCAGAUCUCUGGGCCGCUACUGACGCUGAGGAGCGAAAGCAUGGGGAGCGAACAGG